Molecule: long non-coding RNA, 395 nt
Organism: Eriocheir sinensis (Chinese mitten crab)
Lineage: Eukaryota; Metazoa; Arthropoda; Malacostraca; Decapoda; Varunidae
Exons: 3
Source: RefSeq, a predicted model, not a curated record
AAGAAGUCCAAAAGGUAAUUAAAGAAGACCAAAAGGUAAUUAAAGAAGUCCAAAGGGUAAUUAAAGAAGUCCAAAAGGUAAUUAAAGAAGUCCAAAAGGUAAUUAAAGAAGUCCAAAAGGUAAUUAAAGAAGUCCAAAAGGUAAUUAAAGAAGACCAAAAGGUAAUUAAAGAAGUCCAAAAGGUAAUUAAAGAAGACCAAAAGGUAAUUAAAGAAGUCCAAAAGGUAAUUAAAGAAGUCCAAAAGGUAAUUAAAGAAGUCCAAAAGGUAAUUAAAGAAGUCCAAAAGGUAAUUAAAGAAGUCCAAAAGGUAAUUAAAGAAGUCCAAAAGGUAAUUAAAGAAGUCCAAAAGGUAAUUAAAGAAGUCCAAAAGGUAAUUACAGAAGUCCAAAAGGUA